Long non-coding RNA from Artibeus jamaicensis (Jamaican fruit-eating bat), 1195 nucleotides. RefSeq lists it as uncharacterized. The transcript is spliced from 4 exons. Lineage: Eukaryota; Metazoa; Chordata; Mammalia; Chiroptera; Phyllostomidae. The record is from RefSeq and is a predicted model, not a curated record.
AAAGUUGCCUAAAAAAAAAAAAGGAACAGAAACAAACACACAAAAGCAAAAACAGAAAGAGUGGGUUAUUUCCCAAGAGAAAGCUCUCCCUAAGCCCAUCCUAGACAUUAGUGGGGUACCCAGGCAUGACCUAGGUAAAGCUGUAUUUUGUGCUCCCAUCUACGCACUGCCCACCUUUGUCCUGACUUCAGUAGUAUUCCUUUUCACCAAAUUCUCGGUAUCAGUGCUCUCGGCAUGCCUGUGGUCUCCUGCUCCCCACCCAUUCACAAACAUUUAAAAAAUCUGAUUAGCCAACAUCAAACCUCAGUGUUAAUUAGUUUGAAAGGCAAUUUCUCAUGGGAAUAGCUUUCAUUUUUAAAGAAAAAUAUAAGAAGUUAAGACCAAAGAAUGAAUCCCUGACAGUGAAAUUUUAGGAACUGCCACUCCUGGCUUGGAGAGCCGCCGGAGGCAGGGAAGACCUCUUCCAGACCACAUAUUCUGCAGAGACAAAAGACUGACCUCAGAUGCUCCUACUUUGGAACAACUCAUGUAUUAAUUUGGACAAGGAUGAAUAAAAUCAAAUGAAAAGUGGAUCUUCUAAAUGAAGGAUGCUGCUCUUGUUACCCAAGCACCAUUCUGUGAGGAAGCACCUGAGGUGUCCCAGCUGACAGCCCAGCAGAAGUUCUACUUGACAGCAUCAGCCACCAGAUGCGUCAGCCACCAGAUGUAUGAGCGACUGACCUAAAAAUGCUUCCAGCCCCCAGCUGUGGGGUCACAACCAGCCUUCAACCAGCCGUGCCAGCUGGUACCACGUGCUACAGAGAUGAGAACACUGACGCCGUAUCUGCAGCUCUGGAGAUGUCCAGGACCAUGCAGAUGACACACUGGGGACAGCAGAACAAAGGGCAGGAUGAGGCCCGUGCCCACGAUGACCUUGGAGAGAUGCUGGUAUGCCUGUCUCUCUACAUGAGACAAAUAUACUUCUAUCUGGAUUGUCACUAUUAAUUUGCAUGUGUGUGUUUUUACAGAAGUCUGGACUGAAUCCGAAUUGAUGCAACAGGUAAACAAAAGAAAGUGCUUUAGCCUGUUAAAGACUGAUUCCUAUUAGCUGAGAGGGUGGUUUGGCAUGGUGUCCUUACCCCGAGGCUGUCCUGUAUUAAAUGCAAACUCCUGUAUUAAAUGCAAAGUCUAGUGGCAAACUUUCAAGAUAAUUAAA